UGGGUUCUAAAAGAAUCGUCCUGCCGAAG
RNAcentral lists this non-coding RNA (29 nucleotides) under Mus musculus (house mouse). Lineage: Eukaryota; Metazoa; Chordata; Mammalia; Rodentia; Muridae. The record is from RNAcentral.